This 445-nucleotide ribosomal RNA is filed under the name uncultured bacterium. RNAcentral's name for it is "SSU rRNA". It matches the Rfam family "Bacterial small subunit ribosomal RNA", at positions 26 to 518 of the family's 1533-position model. The record is from RNAcentral.
AGAACGAACGCUGGCGACAGGCUUAACACAUGCAAGUCGAGCGCCGUGGCAACACGGAGCGGCAGACGGGUGCGUAACGCGUGGGAACAUACCCCUUGGUUCGGAAUAACUCAGGGAAACUUGAGCUAAUACCGGAUAAGUGCGAGAGCAGAAAGAUUUAUCGCCGAAGGAUUGGCCCGCGUCUGAUUAGCUAGUUGGUGAGGUAAUGGCUCACCAAGGCUACGAUCAGUAGCUGGUCUGAGAGGAUGAUCAGCCACACUGGGACUGAGACACGGCCCAGACUCCUACGGGAGGCAGCAGUGGGGAAUAUUGGACAAUGGGCGAAAGCCUGAUCCAGCCAUGCCGCGUGAGUGAUGAAGGCCUUAGGGUUGUAAAGCUCUUUCGCCCGCGACGAUGAUGACGGUAGCGGGAGAAGAGCCCCGGCUAACUUCGUGCCAGCAGCCGC